GUUGGAGCUAGGGUUAGGGUUAGGGUUAGGGUUGGAGUUAGGGUUAGUGUUGGAGCUAGGGUUAGGGUUGGGCUUGGAGCUAGGAUUUUUCUGAGUGCACUGAACCAACUCCCGAGUCUCUAGGACAUUCCUAAAAAAAAAUUGAUUUUUUUCCCAUAGGAAUGCAUGGGUUAGGGUUAGGGUUAGGGUUGGAGCUAGGGUUAGGGUUAGGGUUAGGGUUAGGGUUGGAGUUAGGGUUAGUGUUGGAGCUAGGGUUAGGGUUGGGCUUGGAGCUAGGAUUUUUCUGAGUGCACUGAACCAACUCCCGAGUCUCUAGGACAUUCAUAAAAAAAUUUGAUUUUUUCCCAUAGGAAUGCAUGGGUUAGGGUUAUUGUUAGGGUUAGGGUUGGAGCUAGGGUUAGGGUUAGGGUUAGGGUUAGGGUUGGAGUUAGGGUUAGUGUUGGAGCUAGGGUUAGGGUUGGGCUUGGAGCUAGGAUUUUUCUGAGUGCACUGAACCAACUCC
Xyrichtys novacula (pearly razorfish) is the source of this 502-nucleotide non-coding RNA. The record is from the annotation of a GenBank genome assembly. NCBI's taxonomy places the organism in Eukaryota, Metazoa, Chordata, Actinopteri, Labriformes, Labridae.